Long non-coding RNA from Sarcophilus harrisii (Tasmanian devil), 6013 nucleotides. RefSeq lists it as uncharacterized. NCBI's taxonomy places the organism in Eukaryota, Metazoa, Chordata, Mammalia, Dasyuromorphia, Dasyuridae. The record is from RefSeq and is a predicted model, not a curated record. The transcript is spliced from 2 exons.
AAAAUAAGAACAAAAGUACAAGAAUAUCAAGGGAAUUAAUGAGAAAAGAUACAAAGGAUGGUGACCUAGCCGUACCAGACCUAAAACUGUAUUAUAAAUCACCAGGCAGAUACAGGAGAGGUUUGCAUUUCCUUCUCCAGCUCAUUUUACAAAUGUGGAAACUGAGGCAAACAUGAAGGGACCCCUGCCCAGGGUCCCACAACUAGUAAGUGUCUGAGGCUGAAUUUGAACUCAGGAAAAUGAGUCAGACCUGGUGUAUUAUCCACUGUUUCAUCUAGCUUCCUGGCACCUGUUUUGUAGAUGAGGACCUUGAAUCUUUGUGGGAUGAGGGGACUAGAUUAGAGCCCCCCCAGAGACAGGCUGAGCCAGGAUCAGAGGCUGGUCUCUCACUGCAGUCCCCCUCCGUUCUCCUCCUCCGCCUCCUGUGUUGUCUCAGCAAGGCAGGCUGACCGCCGAACCUUUGCUCUGCACCGAGGAGAGACCGGCAGUUGUUGACAGAGUAAUUGAACUUCCCCGUUGCCCCAAUGUCAGACUUCCUUGCCAGACUCGUCCAUCAUCUGUUUCCCAAAUUCGUCAUCUCUUUCCUUCCCGGUGCAGAUGAUCCUUUGAUGACAGAGUCAUUUCUGUUUGUCCCUCUGGUGAUCUCUUUUAGGAUAUCAUCCCAGCAGAGGAGGGGCCGUGCUCUAGAAGCAAAGCCGAAUUGAAUUAACCCCAAAGAAACGUGAGAGAAGCAGUUUGAAAAGCCCCCAAAUGUUCCUAGGGACUAUUUGUGUCCGAUCCUGUGGCCGAGCUCCGCAGAGGGUGUGAUGAGGGCAAAGGCAGAGAGGUGGAAGGUGUGUGUACCUGCGUUCUUGGGUGGCCAGUGUACGGCCAGUGAAGAUUGGAGCCAGGCCACUUUUAUGUUUGAUCGGGAGUCCCUGGGAUAGAUUAGAUGGGCAAAAGUGAGCUCAUGCAGACAUUUUGGGGAAAGCCGCCCUGUGGAGGGGGAUUAGAGUUCAGAUUAUUACCAUGUCCAGAAGAGGGGAGGCUGAGAGAGAGCAGGGGAUGUGUUUGUAUCAUGUGCUGGUCACCUAGAGGAUGGUUUGGGACACAGAGACUCAAGAAUCCGGCAGCCAUAUUCAAGCUUUCCUGCCUUCUUGCAGGAGUGAAGUGGAGCACCAUGAGUGCAAAAUGUGUCAUAUACUAUCUGUAUAUGCAGGCCACUGUAUUUGGGAGCGGGCUGGGAGAGGAGAUUGCUUUAUUGCAAAGGAGAGUUCACUGGGUGAUAGAGCAAAUAUCAGGAAAUGACUAAUGUGAAAACAAAAAAUCAUCAACAAAACCCAAGUAAUUUUUAAAAAUGCAAUAGUUUGCUUUUUAGGGAGACAGUGGAAUGCAGUGGAAAGAACUUGGAGUUGUGGGACUUGAGUUCAAAUCCUGCUGUAUCACUUAAGAUUAUGGGCCCAAAGGGCCCAUAGGACCCAAAGGGUCUCUCCCCCUCCUUAAGCCUCAGUUUCCUCAUCUGUAAAGUGAGGGCAUUGCCCUUGUGAUCUCGGAGGUCCUAACCAGCUCCACCUCUGAGAUCCCGUGCCCCCAGACUGUGGGAGGAGCUCUGGAGGUGUUGCAGGUCUGAAAAGGAGCAACUUGAGAGCUUGAGAAUUUGCUUUGGAAUUUUUGAAAGGUUAGUUGAUUGAUUUUUCUUUUCUGAGUCACAAGAUCAUCCUUAGAACUGACUAGAAGGGACUAAGAAAUCAUCUGGUCUAAUUUCCUUUCAUAGAUGAGAAACCUGAAGGUUGAGUGACUGGUUCAGAGUGAAAUAGCUAAUGCAAGGCAAAGCAGAGACUGUCUCCUUGCCCGUGCCCAGGCAGCUCGGUUGGGUACAUAUUGGGCAGAGGCGUGGCUGACUGCUGAGGGCCCUCGCCACCUUCAAGCAUUCUGGGACAUUUUGAGCUGGGGCUGGAGACUUUCUGGGAAAAGGGUCAAUUGCGUUGGGGGGAAGGAGAAAGUUCAAUAGAAAAAAGGGGUGGGUGUGGCUGUGGUCCCAAGCCUGGACCUUGGCAUAGCAAAAGCUCUGAGGCAGAGAGGAUAGUGUGGGAAUGGGGGAGGUUUCUAGCCCCAGUGAUUGGGAGGACAAAUCAUUAAAAGGAAUAGAAAAAUGAGAGGGAGGCGCAUUUAUUAGACACCAACUCGACGCUAAGAGCUCAGGAUACAGAAAAAGGCAAAAAUACUGGGUCUGGAGUUAGAAAGAUUGACUUCAAAUCUAACCUCAGGGACUGACUAGCUGCAAGUCCUCUCUGCCUGCCUCAGUUUCUUCAACUGUAAAAUUGGGAUAAUAGUAGCAUCUCUAUUUCCCAGGGUUGUUGUGAGGAUCAUAUGUAAAGUAUUUUGAAAAUCUUAAAGUUCUAAGAACUGCUAGUUAUAGUAAGAAAAGAAGCUAAAAAAUGCUUCUUGAGGCAUUCAGAUCCCCUUAGCAGCUACCGCAGUAGCCCAGCGUGAGGGGACAGCGGCCUGUAUCAGGGUGGGGGCAGUGAGAAGAGAGAAAGGGGUGUGGUUGAGUUGGUGCAGAGGCAGAAUGGUGAGAGAAGUUGCAAAGAUGAAAUGUGCAAGGAGAAAUGUUGCAAAGGGGAAAGGCACAAGAGGUGUUGCAGAGGUGAAAUCCACAUGAUAUGUUGCAAAGUAGAAAUAAACAAGAGGUGUUGUAGAGGUGAAAUCCAGGAGAAAUAUUGCAAAGGGGAAAUGGACAAGAUUUGCUACAAAGAUGAAAUCAACAUGAGAUGUAGCAAGGGUGAAAUGGACAAGAGAUGCUGCAGAGGUAAAAUGGACAAGAGGUGAAAUCAAGGAGAAAUGUUGAAAAGGUGAAACCCACAGGUGUGGCAGAGGUGAAAUCAACCUGAGAUAUUGUAAAAGUGAAAUGGAUAAGAGUUAUUGCAGAGGUGAAAUCAACAUGAGAUGUUGCAAAGGUGAAAUCAAAAAGAAGUCUUGCAAAGGUGAAAUGGACAAGAGAUGCUGCAGAGGUGAAAUCAACAUGAGAUGUUGCAAAAGUGAAAUGGAUAAGAGAUGCUGCAGGGGUGAAAUCAACAUGAGAUGUUGCAAAGGUGAAAUGGACAAGAGAUGCUGCAGAGGUGAAAUCAACAUGAGAUGUUGCAAAAGUGAAAUGGACAAGAGAUGCUGCAGAGGUGGUAUUUACAGAACUUGGCACCAGCUUCGAUAUGGGGGAUGAGAGACAGUGAGGACUUCAGGAUGGGAACCUAGGGGACUGGGAGGAUGCUAGACCCUGAGGCAAUGAGAAUGGGAGGGGGAGUGUUAAGGGGAACACUUAAGACUGUGGAUUUGUAUAACUGGCUCCCCUGGUGGAAGUUGCUUCCUGGGAAUUUCUUGGAUUAUUCUGCCUGCCAGAUUGUGGGCUAGGCGUGGACCAUCCUUUUCCCUUUCCUCAUCUCAGGCAAAACUGCCAUCAGUGCCACCCAAUCAGUUUGUAGCUGUCAACUGAGAGGGUGAAUGGGAAGGACCUUAAUUAAGACCUGUCUCAUCUACCUCUGACCUGGGCACACACGGUAGGUGGUAGUGAAGUAGGUAGUCAGAAGCCGCAGAGAACACUUGCAUCAGUCAUGUUUAUGAAUGGUCUUCAGAUUUUCUUCCCAGGGUAUGGGUUAACAUUCAGCAAUUAACAGCUUGUCUUCUACAUGGUGUUAAAUCUGGGUGUGAAAUGGUGAUCAGGGUGUGUUUUAUCUGCCAAGAUCCUGGAGUUCAUCAUUAAUCCCUGUCCUUGAACAAAGAAAAGGCACUCAGAGGCUGCCAUUACCACCAUCAUCUUUUUUUUUUUUUCUCAAGGCUCAAAGAUGAAUAUUUUUAAAACAUAAGCAAACAAAAUAAUAGACCUCCAAGGAUCUGACUUAAGUUAGAAAAGAAAAGGAAAUCUGCUUUAAGGCUUCCAGCUUGAGCUUCCCUCCUCCUUGUACCUCAUCCAAGAUCCUUCUCCGACUCCCGUGCCAAAACGUGCAUUCGGCAGUGCACAGCAUCAGAUUUUACCUGCUGUUUGAACAUCUCCCUCUCGUUUCUUCCAAGAAGCACGACUAUGGCAGGUCACAGGUGGAACGAUGUUGGCUACAGUUUGUGGGCUCUAUAGUUUUGUUUGGUGUCAGGUCUAUGGAUGUAAACAGCUGACCCAUGAGAAAGAACUAGUGGCAAUUUUCACAGCCGUCUGUAAAAAAAAAAAAAAAAAAAAGCUGAGAUGCUAUGAUCCUCUUCCCCCUCAGCUACUAGCUUUGCUUUCUAAGGGUAUCUCUCAUCCAUUCUAUAUGUAUCCUGCAUGUUUCUGUUUAUCAGUGGCACCCCCUCUGGCAAGCUAGGUCCCCAGAAGGCGAUUAUUACUAUCAUGUCUUUAGAGUUUCAGGGGUUACCCUGAAUGUUGCUGGAGUUUGUUUGUGAUAAGCUGUUACUGGUGUGCUUUGCACUGAUUAAUAGCCAGACAUAAUUGGCUUUUAGAAAGUGCAUUUACAUUGCAUUGGGAUCUGAAAAGGGAUACUUUUAAUAUUUCUGUUUUUAGCAAUAAAAUGUAUAUGUGGCCAGUUUUUGUAAAAGUUCCAUAAAUUGCUGAGAAGAAAAGUAUCUUUCUUUCUAUUUCCAUUCCAUUUUCUCCAGAUAGUUGUCAUUAUCUAGCUUAUCUAAAACUCUGUUCAUUUCCUUGACUUUUUUCUUAUUUAUUUUUGGUUAGAUUUAUCCAGUUCUGAGAGGGGAAGACUAAAGUCCCCUCACUGUUGUAGUACUACUAUCUAUCUCCACUGUAAUUCAUUUACAUUUAUAAAUUUUAGAUGUUAUUGUAUUUGGUUCCAGAGUUCGGUAUUGAUAUUGCUUCAUUGCAAACAGUAUCUUUUGUCAAAAUAUAAUUAAUCUCUUUUUAUCUUUUAAUUUAAUUGAAUUUUGCUUUAAGUUUGUCUGAGAUCAUGAUUGCUACCCUUGCCUUUUUUUUUUGCAUCAAAUAAAGUCUAAUAAAUAAUAUGCCAAUCCUCCAUUUAAAAAAAGAAGAAAGUAUAUUUCUGCAGCAAGUAUAGAAAGGAUGGUUAUGAGAGAAACAAUCUCCCCAAAGUAGGCGUGUGCACUUGCUUUGCACCCAGGGUACCUUGGGGUCAAGAUUAUAGUGAUGGAAGACCCUUGUGCCAAAGGGAGAGGGCAGGCUCUGGGGACAGGAAAUCCUUUUCUCCCUUUGUGGAGUUCCAUGAGGUUCCCCUUGGUUGUGUCUUUCAGAGUUUCAGGGGUUGGUACCUCGUUGAGCUGUGAUGUAGCAUCUGGUUGGUCUUUGGUGUAUCCCUCAGUGUAUUGCUCCUCCUGUGGACACAAGCACUGGCCCCACUGCAAAUCCCAGGCCUUCUGGUCCUUGUAAUGGCCCGGUGGUGACCUGGGCAGUCCCUUGUCUGUACGCUUGGGUGCCUUUCCUCAGGGGUCGGGAUACAUCCUCACGUGCUUCCCUCUGCAUACAUUGUCUCUCACUGACCAGAAUAUGGCCUUUGGGGAGUGGGAGGAGAGAGGGAGAUACCGGUGACUCCGUCGGGGCCCAGAGUGCUGACAGCGCCAGGCGGCAGAGUCAGGAUCUGAAGCCGGGUCCUCAGCUCUGAGAGGCAGAUACCACAGCAGCGCCAUGACACUUGGACCCAAUGAGGACACGAGGCCGGAAGUGAGUUAGAGAAAGAGGAGGCUGGAGAAUUAGCUCUGAGAAAGGUAUCCAGUGACCCUUCUGAGGAUCCCUUCUCCUGGCACGCAGACGGCAGACUGGCACCGAGUGGGAAGGCCGGGGUGUUCCCUGCUAGAGUGACAAGAGUUGGUUCUGUCAGAGUAUCCUGGAGCUGGAGGGGACCGCAGAGCACUACCCCCCCCCCAACAUACAGAAGAGGAAAAGGAAGAGAAAGGAUCUACCCGAAGCCUUGCAGGGAGUGAGGGGCAGACCAGCUCUUCCCACUGCCUCCCGCUCUUGGCUUCUCACUGACCCAUCUGUGCUCCGUGCUGCAGGAGCCCCCCUUUCUGCCAUUUUCAUUCCAGCCAA